RNAcentral lists this ribosomal RNA (1439 nucleotides) under Kocuria sp. E16-1. Its description in RNAcentral is "bacterial SSU rRNA". The record is from RNAcentral. Lineage: Bacteria; Bacillati; Actinomycetota; Actinomycetes; Micrococcales; Micrococcaceae.
GGGCACUAGGUGUGGGGGACAUUCCACGUUUUCCGCGCCGUAGCUAACGCAUUAAGUGCCCCGCCUGGGGAGUACGGCCGCAAGGCUAAAACUCAAAGGAAUUGACGGGGGCCCGCACAAGCGGCGGAGCAUGCGGAUUAAUUCGAUGCAACGCGAAGAACCUUACCAAGGCUUGACAUAUACCGGAUCGUUCCAGAGAUGGUUCUUCCCCUMUGGGGUCGGUAUACAGGUGGUGCAUGGUUGUCGUCAGCUCGUGUCGUGAGAUGUUGGGUUAAGUCCCGCAACGAGCGCAACCCUCGUUCCAUGUUGCCAGCACGUGAUGGUGGGGACUCAUGGGAGACUGCCGGGGUCAACUCGGAGGAAGGUGGGGAUGACGUCAAAUCAUCAUGCCCCUUAUGUCUUGGGCUUCACGCAUGCUACAAUGGCCGGUACAAAGGGUUGCGAUACUGUGAGGUGGAGCUAAUCCCAAAAAGCCGGUCUCAGUUCGGAUUGAGGUCUGCAACUCGACCUCAUGAAGUCGGAGUCGCUAGUAAUCGCAGAUCAGCAACGCUGCGGUGAAUACGUUCCCGGGCCUUGUACACACCGCCCGUCAAGUCACGAAAGUCGGUAACACCCGAAGCCGGUGGCCAACCCUUGUGGAGGGAGCGUCGAAGGUGGGACUGGCGAUUGGGACUAAGCUGGCGGCGUGCUUAACACAUGCAAGUCGAACGCUGAAGCACCAGCUUGCUGGUGUGGAUGAGUGGCGAACGGGUGAGUAAUACGUGAGUAACCUGCCCUUGACUCUGGGAUAAGMCCGGGAAACUGGGUCUAAUACUGGAUGCUACAUGUCACCGCAUGGUGGUGUGUGGAAAGGGUUUACUGGUCUUGGAUGGGCUCACGGCCUAUCAGCUUGUUGGUGAGGUAAUGGCUCACCAAGGCGACGACGGGUAGCCGGCACUGAGAGGGUGACCGGCCACACUGGGACUGAGACACGGCCCAGACUCCUACGGGAGGCAGCAGUGGGGAAUAUUGCACAAUGGGCGAAAGCCUGAUGCAGCGACGCCGCGUGAGGGAUGACGGCUUCGGGUUGUAAACCUCUUUCAGCAGGGAAGAAGCCACAAGUGACGGUACCUGCAGAAGAAGCGCCGGCUAACUACGUGCCAGCAGCCGCGGUAAUACGUAGGGCGCAAGCGUUGUCCGGAAUUAUUGGGCGUAAAGAGCUCGUAGGCGGUUUGUCGCGUCUGCUGUGAAAGCCCGGGGCUUAACCCCGGGUGUGCAGUGGGUACGGGCAGACUAGAGUGCAGUAGGGGAGACUGGAAUUCCUGGUGUAGCGGUGGAAUGCGCAGAUAUCAGGAGGAACACCGAUGGCGAAGGCAGGUCUCUGGGCUGUUACUGACGCUGAGGAGCGAAAGCAUGGGGAGCGCAACAGGAUUAGAUACCCUGGUAGUCCAUGCCGUAAA